This 757-nucleotide long non-coding RNA is filed under the name Rhinopithecus bieti (black snub-nosed monkey). RNAcentral describes it as "lncRNA (ENSRBIG00000046583.1)". Lineage: Eukaryota; Metazoa; Chordata; Mammalia; Primates; Cercopithecidae. The record is from RNAcentral.
CUGACGUCGCCGUCUGAACUGACGUCGCCGUCUGAACUUCCGCCGCACGUUUCACACUAACUCCCCCUAGGUUUGCACAUGCCACCCACGAAGAGGCAACUUCAUGUGGGCAAGUGACUUUCCAAACAUACCCUUGCCUGGCCUAUCACUCAUCUACCCUAAAACGCUUGCCCCAAAAUCCCUUUUUUACAUAUACGGCUUUCAAGCCGGUACAAGGAGACAGUUUUGAGCCCGUCUCCUGUCUCGAGCCCGUCUCCUGUCUCGUUGCGUGGCCGUUUUUCAAGAAAUCUUUCUCUCUACAAAAAUCCCAGGCUUCGUGUUUACCUUUCCAUUGCUCACAGGUGCGUCAUGACUCUCAGAGUCCAACAGGCUGUCUCCAGUUCAUCAUUUUUCCACUACAUGGGCUGAAACACAGUCGAGUCAGCGGAGCCACCUGGGUUGAGAUAAGAGCCAGAGGAAUUGUGAAUUGUCUAAUUGAAGAGAGGUGUGAAUACCUGAACUCUGCACAAACAACAAUCGAGGCAGUGUAUCCUUAGAUGGACACAGACAAGUUGAGAUGAGAACAAUCUCCAUGUUAUCACAGUCACUCAACUGGCUAACUGACUGCCUGCGGGAAAAUAUUUCCCUAAACAUUUAUCCAAGAUGUGCCUUAUUUACUUCAAAAGAUAUGAACUUUCCAUUUCUUUGCUUUUAAAUCUUAGUUGUCUUUACUCAGAAAUGGCUGAAAGAACUCCACAUAUUAUUAAUAGGACUCAAA